This 168-nucleotide small RNA is filed under the name Chrysemys picta bellii (western painted turtle). RNAcentral's name for it is "TUC338 (ENSCPBG00000006919.1)". The record is from RNAcentral. Lineage: Eukaryota; Metazoa; Chordata; Testudines; Emydidae.
CUGAAACCUUGGUGAUAUAUGUAACCUUUCAGUCAGCUUAAUCCAUAGGAAUGGCAGUGCCAGUUUUCUCCUACUGCCCAGCAAUGUACCUCCAUCUUGAUCUGGAUGGAUCACUUCUAGGGAUCAGAUGGUAUUUCAUUUCCCAUUCUCGGUUGAUUCUUGGCCUCU